UGAGGAAUAUUGCCCAAUGGACGCAAGUCUGAGGCAGCAACGCCGCGUGGGCGAUGAAGGCCUUCGGGUUGUAAAGCCCUUUUCUGGGGGAAGAGGAAGGACGGUACCUCAGGAAUAAGUCACGGCUAACUACGCGCCAGCAGCCGCGGUAAUACGUAGGUGGCAAGCGUUAUCCGGAUUCACUGGGCGUAAAGCGCGUGCAGGCGGUUUCGUAAGUCGGACGUGAAAGCUCCUGGCUUAACUGGGAGAGGUCGUUCGAUACUGCGGGGCUUGAGGUCGGGAGAGGGACGUGGAAUUCCCGGUGUAGUGGUGGAGUGCGUAGAUAUCGGGAGGAACACCAGUGGCGAAGGCGACGUCCUGGCCCGCACCUGACGCUGAGACGCGAAAGCGUGGGAAGCGAACGG
This 404-nucleotide ribosomal RNA is filed under the name uncultured bacterium. Its description in RNAcentral is "bacterial SSU rRNA". It matches the Rfam family "Bacterial small subunit ribosomal RNA", at positions 355 to 775 of the family's 1533-position model. The record is from RNAcentral.